Vicia faba (fava bean) is the source of this 207-nucleotide non-coding RNA. Lineage: Eukaryota; Viridiplantae; Streptophyta; Magnoliopsida; Fabales; Fabaceae. The record is from the annotation of a GenBank genome assembly.
AUGUUAUUAUUCCUUUUGUCAUUUUAUGCAAUUCUUCACUGUGUCUUUUGCUUUCACUCGAAUUUGAAGUUGAAUCAGAAGCACAACAAGGUUGAUACGAAGCUUCGAAUUGAGAUGCAAGAUGUUGUUCGUGUGAGAAUUGAAGAUCUCUACAGAGAUGAUGAUCAGACCGGUGGCGGAGUGACAGUCACUGGGGAAAUUGGUUGA